GCUGUGACCCCCUCAUGUCAAAGUGAAAAAAUUUGAUAAAGCGGGGGUAAACGGCGGGACAUAAGAGUCUCUUGAGGUAGCCAAAUGCCUCGUCAUAGUGACGUACAUGAAU
This 112-nucleotide non-coding RNA is filed under the name Salmo salar (Atlantic salmon). RNAcentral describes it as "Eukaryotic large subunit ribosomal RNA". It matches the Rfam family "Eukaryotic large subunit ribosomal RNA", at positions 2200 to 2320 of the family's 3401-position model. Lineage: Eukaryota; Metazoa; Chordata; Actinopteri; Salmoniformes; Salmonidae. The record is from Rfam by way of RNAcentral.